Molecule: ribosomal RNA, 657 nt
Filed under: Lactiplantibacillus plantarum
Lineage: Bacteria; Bacillati; Bacillota; Bacilli; Lactobacillales; Lactobacillaceae
Description: bacterial SSU rRNA
Rfam family: Bacterial small subunit ribosomal RNA
Source: RNAcentral
GGGUAGCAAACAGGAUUAGAUACCCUGGUAGUCCAUACCGUAAACGAUGAAUGCUAAGUGUUGGAGGGUUUCCGCCCUUCAGUGCUGCAGCUAACGCAUUAAGCAUUCCGCCUGGGGAGUACGGCCGCAAGGCUGAAACUCAAAGGAAUUGACGGGGGCCCGCACAAGCGGUGGAGCAUGUGGUUUAAUUCGAAGCUACGCGAAGAACCUUACCAGGUCUUGACAUACUAUGCAAAUCUAAGAGAUUAGACGUUCCCUUCGGGGACAUGGAUACAGGUGGUGCAUGGUUGUCGUCAGCUCGUGUCGUGAGAUGUUGGGUUAAGUCCCGCAACGAGCGCAACCCUUAAUAUCAGUUGCCAGCAUUAAGUUGGGCACUCUGGUGAGACUGCCGGUGACAAACCGGAGGAAGGUGGGGAUGACGUCAAAUCAUCAUGCCCCUUAUGACCUGGGCUACACACGUGCUACAAUGGAUGGUACAACGAGUUGCGAACUCGCGAGAGUAAGCUAAUCUCUUAAAGCCAUUCUCAGUUCGGAUUGUAGGCUGCAACUCGCCUACAUGAAGUCGGAAUCGCUAGUAAUCGCGGAUCAACAUGCCGCGGUGAAUACGUUCCCGGGCCUUGUACACACCGCCCGUCACACCAUGAGAGUUUGUAACAC